GACCAAGUGACGCAGUGGUCACCGUGCGUGCCUGCUAAACCGUUUAGAGAGCACGUCUCCUCUGGAGGCGCAGGUUCGAAUCCUGCCUUGGUCG
Non-coding RNA from Hyaloraphidium curvatum, 94 nucleotides. The record is from the annotation of a GenBank genome assembly. Lineage: Eukaryota; Fungi; Monoblepharomycota; Hyaloraphidiomycetes; Hyaloraphidiales; Hyaloraphidiaceae.